This 98-nucleotide microRNA precursor is filed under the name Myotis brandtii (Brandt's bat). RNAcentral's name for it is "mir-9193 microRNA precursor family". It matches the Rfam family "mir-9193 microRNA precursor family". Lineage: Eukaryota; Metazoa; Chordata; Mammalia; Chiroptera; Vespertilionidae. The record is from Rfam by way of RNAcentral.
CGUGCACUGGUGGGGUCCCUCGGCCUGGCCUGCACCCUCUCGCAAUCCAGUUUCAGCCCAAUCCUGCAGGCCAGGCCGAGGGACCUCACUGGUGCAUG